Molecule: ribosomal RNA, 255 nt
Filed under: uncultured bacterium
Lineage: Bacteria
Description: partial 16S ribosomal RNA
Rfam family: Bacterial small subunit ribosomal RNA
Source: RNAcentral
CGAAGGGUGCAAGCGUUAAUCGGAAUUACUGGGCGUAAAGCGCGCGUAGGUGGUUUGUUAAGUUGGAAGUGAAAGCCCCGGGCUCAACCUGGGAACUGCUUUCAAAAACUGGCAAGCUAGAGUAUGGCAGAGGGUGGUGGAAUUUCCUGUGUAGCGGUGAAAUGCGUAGAUAUAGGAAGGAACACCAGUGGCGAAGGCGACCACCUGGGCUAAUACUGACACUGAGGUGCGAAAGCGUGGGGAGCAAACAGGAUU